This 253-nucleotide ribosomal RNA is filed under the name uncultured bacterium. RNAcentral's name for it is "partial 16S ribosomal RNA". It matches the Rfam family "Bacterial small subunit ribosomal RNA", at positions 524 to 776 of the family's 1533-position model. The record is from RNAcentral.
GACGAACCGUGCGAACGUUGUUCGGAAUCACUGGGCUUAAAGGGCGCGUAGGCGGCUUGCCAAGUCAGGGGUGAAAUCCUCCAGCUCAACUGGAGAAGUGCCUUUGAUACUGGCGAGCUCGAGGGAGGUAGGGGUGUGUGGAACUUCUGGUGGAGCGGUGAAAUGCGUUGAUAUCAGAAGGAACGCCGGUGGCGAAAGCGACGCACUGGACCUCUUCUGACGCUGAGGCGCGAAAGCUAGGGGAGCAAACAGG